Molecule: ribosomal RNA, 290 nt
Filed under: uncultured bacterium
Lineage: Bacteria
Description: partial 16S ribosomal RNA
Rfam family: Bacterial small subunit ribosomal RNA
Source: RNAcentral
CUACUCCUACGGGACGCAGCAGUAGGGAAUUUUCGUCAAUGGGCGCAAGCCUGAACGAGCAAUGCCGCGUGAACGAGGAAGGUCUUCGGAUCGUAAAGUUCUGUUGAAGGGGAAAAAGAGCGGAGAGAGGAAAUGGUCUCCGAUUGAUAUUACCCUUCGAGGAAGUCACGGCUAACUACGUGCCAGCAGCCGCGGUAAUACGUAGGUGGCGAGCGUUAUCCGGAAUGAUUGGGCGUAAAGGGGGCGUAGCCGGCCGGCUAAGUCUGGAGGGAAAGGAACCGGCUCAACCG